AAUUGACAUACCCCUAGAGGAGUGAGACUUUGUCAUCCUUCGGCCACUCGUUCAUGCUUUCCUGGGUCCACCCCUCUGAGGUCUACUGGGGUCUCCUAUUGGCCAUGCAUGAGGAGGAUACAGGCCCGCUGCUUUAUAGUAAUAAAGACAACACAGAGUUUCCAACCAACGGCUUCUUCCUUCAACAAUUUAACAUCCAGCCAGGCUUCUGCAUACACUUUGGAACCCAUCCAAGCCUGCCCCAAAACACAUGGGGGAGCACACUCUAG
Molecule: long non-coding RNA, 269 nt
Filed under: Aotus nancymaae (Ma's night monkey)
Lineage: Eukaryota; Metazoa; Chordata; Mammalia; Primates; Aotidae
Description: lncRNA (ENSANAG00000039047.1)
Source: RNAcentral